RNAcentral lists this ribosomal RNA (1346 nucleotides) under uncultured bacterium. Its description in RNAcentral is "bacterial SSU rRNA". It matches the Rfam family "Bacterial small subunit ribosomal RNA", at positions 28 to 1381 of the family's 1533-position model. The record is from RNAcentral.
GACGAACGCUGGCGGCGUGCUUAACACAUGCAAGUCGAACGGAAAGGCCCUGCUUUUGUGGGGUGCUCGAGUGGCGAACGGGUGAGUAACACGUGAGUAACCUGCCCUUGACUUUGGGAUAACUUCAGGAAACUGGGGCUAAUACCGGAUAGGAGCUCCUGCUGCAUGGUGGGGGUUGGAAAGUUUUGGCGGUUGGGGAUGGACUCGCGGCUUAUCAGCUUGUUGGUGGGGUAGUGGCUUACCAAGGCUUUGACGGGUAGCCGGCCUGAGAGGGUGACCGGCCACAUUGGGACUGAGAUACGGCCCAGACUCCUACGGGAGGCAGCAGUGGGGAAUAUUGCACAAUGGGCGGAAGCCUGAUGCAGCAACGCCGCGUGCGGGAUGACGGCCUUCGGGUUGUAAACCGCUUUCGCCUGUGACGAAGCGUGAGUGACGGUAAUGGGUAAAGAAGCACCGGCUAACUACGUGCCAGCAGCCGCGGUGAUACGUAGGGUGCGAGCGUUGUCCGGAUUUAUUGGGCGUAAAGGGCUCGUAGGUGGUUGAUCGCGUCGGAAGUGUAAUCUUGGGGCUUAACCCUGAGCGUGCUUUCGAUACGGGUUGACUUGAGGAAGGUAGGGGAGAAUGGAAUUCCUGGUGGAGCGGUGGAAUGCGCAGAUAUCAGGAGGAACACCAGUGGCGAAGGCGGUUCUCUGGGCCUUUCCUGACGCUGAGAAGCGAAAGCGUGGGGAGCGAACAGGCUUAGAUACCCUGGUAGUCCACGCUGUAAACGGUGGGUACUAGGUGUGGGGUCCAUUCCACGGGUUCCGUGCCGUAGCUAACGCUUUAAGUACCCCGCCUGGGGAGUACGGCCGCAAGGCUAAAACUCAAAGGAAUUGACGGGGCCCCGCACAAGCGGCGGAGCAUGCGGAUUAAUUCGAUGCAACGCGUAGAACCUUACCUGGGUUUGACAUGGAUCGGGAGCGCUCAGAGAUGGGUGUGCCUCUUUUGGGGUCGGUUCACAGGUGGUGCAUGGCUGUCGUCAGCUCGUGUCGUGAGAUGUUGGGUUAAGUCCCGCAACGAGCGCAACCCUUGUUCACUGUUGCCAGCACGUUAUGGUGGGGACUCAGUGGAGACCGCCGGGGCCAACUCGGAGGAAGGUGGGGAUGACGUCAAGUCAUCAUGCCCCUUAUGUCCAGGGCUUCACGCAUGCUACAAUGGCUGGUACAGAGAGUGGCGAGCCUGUGAGGGUGAGCGAAUCUCGGAAAGCCGGUCUCAGUUCGGAUUGGGGUCUGCAACUCGACCUCAUGAAGUCGGAGUCGCUAGUAAUCGCAGAUCAGCAACGCUGCGGUGAAUACGUUCCCGGGGCU